UGCUCACACUUCAGAUGUUC
RNAcentral lists this non-coding RNA (20 nucleotides) under Arabidopsis thaliana (thale cress). The record is from RNAcentral. Lineage: Eukaryota; Viridiplantae; Streptophyta; Magnoliopsida; Brassicales; Brassicaceae.